UACGUAGGGGGCAAGCGUUGUCCGGAAUCAUUGGGCGUAAAGAGCGUGUAGGCGGCUCGAUAAGUCUGCUGUGAAAGUCCAGGGCUCAACCCUGGAAGGCCGGUGGAAACUGUCGGGCUAGAGUCCGGAAGAGGCGAGUGGAAUUCCUGGUGUAGCGGUGAAAUGCGCAGAUAUCAGGAGGAACACCAAUUGCGAAGGCAGCUCGCUGGGACGUUACUGACGCUGAGACGCGAAAGCGUGGGGAGCAAACAGG
This 253-nucleotide ribosomal RNA is filed under the name uncultured bacterium. Its description in RNAcentral is "partial 16S ribosomal RNA". It matches the Rfam family "Bacterial small subunit ribosomal RNA", at positions 524 to 776 of the family's 1533-position model. The record is from RNAcentral.